Molecule: non-coding RNA, 1383 nt
Organism: Physcomitrium patens
Lineage: Eukaryota; Viridiplantae; Streptophyta; Bryopsida; Funariales; Funariaceae
Source: RefSeq, a predicted model, not a curated record
AAGCAAAUUGUUAGCUGCGAAUAUUGCACAAUAUGGGCAACAAAAAAGAUCUGGGAUAAUACAAUACAAGAAUGAGACAAAUAAGUCGCCAUUUAUUUUUGUGGUUAGUGGAUGCAAAUCCAAAUACAAGCUCAGUUGAGAUUCAACAGAAUGUGCCCUUGAAAGCAGCAAGAAUCUCACCAUCUUGGACAUCGAUGCAGCAAAGACUGUGUAAUGGGGGACAUUUGCAAAAUUAGUCACAUGAAAAUGCACGCCGGCCAAACACCGCAUCGAGAUCAAGGUUUGUUUUCUCCACUCUGUUUUAUUCUGCAGCGAUCUUUGGAUUCUACACAAACAGGAGCAAGUGAAGGCGAUGUAGAGAUUGGGUUCCCUGCACCAAGCUCGCCUGGUGGGUGCCGGGGCCAGAGACUGGGGUCGUCUCCUCUCGACGACCAGGGCCACUGCAACGCCGACUGUCUAGACACGGAAGUCUUUCUUCCCAGAUCGUGACUGACAGCGAUCUCCGGGGGACGAAACGGCGUGAUCCUUUACUCGCUAGACCAGAUUUAGUGUUACUGCGACUAGUCGGCACACGAUGACGACCUCGAUGCAAGAUUUGCAGCUCCAGUAGCUGCCAGAUCUGUGCUCAUCCAAGCCUCGAGGACGAGGGUCACCGUGUUCAGGCUGCAGGGUCGCGUCGCUUCAUAAAGCAGCACUUGCAGAGGUAGAUGGAGAUGGACUGGGUGGUUUGUCUUGUGUGUAGUUUGUGCAGCGGAUACAACUCAAGUUAGAAGUUUAUUUUUGUACAAGUGUUAUAUACAGGCUAAGUUAAUGGUCGCAGUAACUCCGAGCACAUGGUAACUAUUGGCCUAUGACGUGACGUGGACCAUAUGAUAACGAGGAGUUGGACUGGAUAUCAGUCGACGACAGCGGCGCAGCUCCUCGCGCUUGCGGUGUAGUUGGCGAUGGCCGUUUGCCGUCGAUUGUGCAAGUUAAUUUAUGCAUCAACUUUGUGUUGGGUAGGAUUGGUGCUGUCGCAUGAGUGCUUUGUGAGAGGAGGUGUGAGUAAUACAGUUAGGGUGGUAGGUUCUCGUUCUAAUGGAUCAUAGGGGAUUUCAGGGUUAGUUUCAGAGAGGUCUCUAGUCAGGUAUUACACAGUUCGUAAAGGGUACUCUACAGGGGUGUUCACGUCAUGGUCAGAAUGCAGAGUUCAAGUUUAGCGUUACCGGGGUGCAGAAUAUAAGAAAUUCAAUGAGCGUGGAGAAGCAAAAAAAUUGUGCAACAAAAAAGCUAAGUUCAAUUUGCAUUCUAGUUUCGGAUUUGUAUAACUAGGCUAGGAUUUUCUUCAAUCCAGCAUUUUCUUUGUAAAUAAAAUUGGCUGGUCCCAAUGCUUUUGUGAACAAA